AGGGGGUGAACCGUAGUUUAUAGAAUGAGACAGAGUAGAGGGGGAGAACUGUAGUUUAUAGAAUGAGACAGAGAGAAGAGGGGGUGAACCGUAGCAUAUAGAAUGAGACAGAGAAGAGGGGGUAAACCGUAGUAUAUAGAAUGAGACAGAGAGAAGAGGGGGUGAACCGUAGUUUAUAGAAUGAGACAGAGAGUAGAGGGGGUGAACCGUAGUAUAUAGAAUGAGACAGAGAGAAGAGGGGGUGAACAGUAGUUUAUAGAAUGAGACAGAGAGAAGAGGGGGUGAACCGUAGUUUAUAGAAUGAGACAGAGUAGAGGGGGUGAACCGUAGUAUAUAGAAUGAGACAGAGAGAAGAGGGGGUGAACCGUAGUUUAUAGAAUGAGACAGAGAGAAGAGGGGGUGAACCGUAGUUUAUAGAAUGAGACAGAGAGUAGAGGGGGUGAACCGUAGUAUAUAGAAUGAGACAGAGAGAAGAGGGGGUGAACCGUAGUUUAUAGAAUGAGACAGAGAGAAGAGGGGGUGAACCGUAGUUUAUAGAAUGAGACAGAGAGUAGAGGGGGUGAACCGUAGUAUAUAGAAUGAGACAGAGAGAAGAGGGGGUGAACCGUAGUUUAUAGAAUGAGACAGAGAGAAGAGGGGGUGAACCGUAGAAUAUAGAAUGAGACAGAGUAGAGUGGGAGAACUGUAGUUUAUAGAAUGAGACAGAGAGAAGAGGGGGUGAACCGUAGUAUAUAGAAUGAGACAGAGAAGAGGGGGUGAACCGUAGUUUAUAGAAUGAGACAGAGUAGAGGGGGAGAACUGUAGUUUAUAGAAUGAGACAGAGAGAAGAGGGGGUGAACCGUAGCAUAUAGAAUGAGACAGAGAAGAGGGGGUAAACCGUAGUAUAUAGAAUGAGACAGAGAGAAGAGGGGGUGAACCGUAGUUUAUAGAAUGAGACAGAAAGUAGAGGGGGUGAACCGUAGUAUAUAGAAUGAGACAGAGAGAAGAGGGGGUGAACAGUAUUUUAUAGAAUGAGACAGAGAGAAGAGGGGGUGAACCGUAGUUUAUAGAAUGAGACAGAGAGUAGAGGGGGUGAACCGUAGUAUAUAGAAUGAGACAGAGAGAAGAGGGGGUGAACCGUAGUUUAUAGAAUGAGACAGAGUAGAGGGGGUGAACCGUAGUAUAUAGAAUGAGACAGAGAGAAGAGGGGGUGAACCGUAGUUUAUAGAAUGAGACAGAGUAGAGGGGGUGAACCGUAGUAUAUAGAAUGAGACAGAGAGAAGAGGGGGUGAACCGUAGUUUAUAGAAUGAGACAGAGAGUAGAGGGGGUGAACCGUAGUAUAUAGAAUGAGACAGAGAGAAGAGGGGGUGAACCGUAGUUUAUAGAAUGAGACAGAGAGAAGAGGUGGUGAACCGUAGUAUAUAGAAUGAGACAGAGUAGAGGGGGUGAACUGUAGUAUAUAGAAUGAGACAGAGAGAAGAGGGGGUGUACCGUAGUUUAUAGAAUGAGACAGAGUAGAGGGGGUGAACCGUAGUAUAUAGAAUGAGACAGAGUAGAGGGGGAGAACCGUAGUUUAUAGAAUGAGACAGAGAGAAGAGGGGGUGAACCGUAGUAUAUAGAAUGAGACAGAGAGAAGAGGGGGUGAACCGUAGAAUAUAGAAUGAGACAAAGUAGAGGGGGUGAACCGUAGUAUAUAGAAUGAGACAGAGAGAAGAGGGGGUGAACCGUAGAAUAUAGAAUGAGACAGAGUAGAGGGGGAGAACCGUAGUUUAUAGAAUGAGACAGAGUAGAGGGGGUGAACCGUAGUUUAUAGAAUGAGACAGAGAAGAGGGGGUGAACCGUAGUAUAUUGAAUGAGACAGAGUAGAGGGGGUGAACUGUAGUAUAUAGAAUGAGACAGAGAGAAGAGGGGGUGAACCGUAGUUUAUAGAAUGAGACAGAGUAGAGGGGGUGAACCGUAGUAUAUAGAAUGAGACAGAGUAGAGGGGGAGAACCGUAGUUUAUAGAAUGAGACAGAGAGAACAGGGGGUGAACCGUAGUAUAUAGAAUGAGACAGAGUAGAGGGGGUGAACCGUAGUAUAUAGAAUGAGACAGAGUAGAGGGGGAGAACUGUAGUUUAUAGAAUGAGACAGAGAAGAGGGGGUGAACCGUAGUAUAUAGAAUGAGACAGAGAGAGGAGGGGGUGAACCGUAGUUUAUAGAAUGAGACAGAGUAGAGGGGUGAACCGUAGUAUAUAGAAUGAGACAGAGUAGAGGGGGUGAACCGUAGUUUAUAGAAUGAGACAGAGUAGAGAGGGUGAACCGUAGUAUAUAGAAUGAGACAGAGUAGAGGGGGAGAACUGUAGUUUAUAGAAUGAGACAGAGUAGAGGGGGUGACCGUAGUAUAUAGAAUGAGACAGAGAGAAGAGGGGGUGAACCGUAGUAUAUAGAAUGAGACAGAGAGAAGAGGGGGUGAACCGUAGUAUAUAGAAUGAGACAGAGAAGAGAGGGUGAACCGUAGUAUAUAGAAUGAGACAGAGAGUAGAGGGGGUGAACUGUAGUAUAUAGAAUUAGACAGAGAGAAGAGGGGGUGAACCGUAGAAUAUAGAAUGAGACAGAGUAGAGGGGGUGAACCGUAGUAUAUAGAAUGAGACAGAGAGAAGACGGGGUGAACCGUAGUAUAUAGAAUGAGACAGAGAGAAGAGAGGGUGAACCGUAGUAUAUAGAAUGAGACAGAGUAGAGGGGGUGAACCGUAGUAUAUAGAAUGAGACAGAGUAGAGGGGGUGAACCGUAGUAUAUAGAAUGAGACAGAGUAGAGGGGGUGAACUGUAGUAUAUAGAAUGAGACAGAGUAGAGGGGGAAAACUGUAAUUUAUAGAAUGAGACAGAGAGAAGAGGGGGUGAACCGUAGUAUAAAGAAUGAAACAGAGUAGAGGGGGAGAACCGUAGUAUAUAGAAUGAGACAGAGUAGAGGGGGUGAACCGUAGUAUAUAGAAUGAGACAGAGAAGAGGGGGUGAACCGUAGUUUAUAGAAUGAGACAGAGAGAAGAGGGGGUGAACCGUAGUUUAUAGAAUGAGACAGAGAGAGGAGGGGGUGAACCGUAGUUUAUAGAAUGAGACAGAGAAGAGGGGGUGAACCGUAGUAUAUAGAAUGAGACAGAGUAGAAGGGGUGAACAGUAGUAUUUUGAAUGAGACAGAGUAGAGGGGGUGACCGUAGUAUAUAGAAUGAGACAGAGUAGAGGGGGUGAACUGUAGUAAAUACAGUCACCGAGGCGAGGUAACUGAAAAAGAGAUGAAAAGGAAGAGGAUUGGUUUGAGGGGGAAUGUAGCCGUGAUAGAGAGAUUUGAUAGUGAAUUAUUAAUGCGAUUGGGAUGAAGACUAAGAUUGGGAAUGGUAUUGAGAUCUGUGUUGCGGUGGUGGUGACGGAAUGCUGCGGAUUACAGCUGGG
RNAcentral lists this long non-coding RNA (3407 nucleotides) under Salmo salar (Atlantic salmon). Its description in RNAcentral is "lncRNA (ENSSSAG00000111508.1)". Lineage: Eukaryota; Metazoa; Chordata; Actinopteri; Salmoniformes; Salmonidae. The record is from RNAcentral.